RNAcentral lists this ribosomal RNA (424 nucleotides) under Verrucomicrobiota bacterium. RNAcentral describes it as "Verrucomicrobia bacterium partial 16S ribosomal RNA". It matches the Rfam family "Bacterial small subunit ribosomal RNA", at positions 355 to 776 of the family's 1533-position model. Lineage: Bacteria; Pseudomonadati; Verrucomicrobiota. The record is from RNAcentral.
UGAGGAAUAUUGGUCAAUGGGCGAGAGCCUGAACCAGCCAAGUAGCGUGCAGGAUGACGGCCCUAUGGGUUGUAAUCUGCUUUUAUAUGGGAAUAAAGUGAGGGACGUUUCCCUUAUUUCAUGUACCAUAUGAAUAAGUACCGGCUAAUUCCGUUCCAGCAGCCGCGGUAAUACGGAAGGUCCAGGCGUUAUCCGGAUUUAUUGGGUUUAAAGGGAGCGUAGGCUGUUUGUUAAGCGUGUUGUGAAAUGUAAGAGCUCAACUUUUAGAUUGCAGCGCGAACUGGCAGACUUGAGUGCGCACAACGUAGGCGGAAUUCAUGGUGUAGCGGUGUAAUGCUUAGAUAUCAUGACGAAAUCCGAUUGCGAAGGCAGCUUACGGGAGCGCAACUGACGCUAAAGCUCGAAGGUGCGGGUAUCGAACAGG